RNAcentral lists this ribosomal RNA (506 nucleotides) under uncultured bacterium. Its description in RNAcentral is "partial 16S ribosomal RNA". It matches the Rfam family "Bacterial small subunit ribosomal RNA", at positions 28 to 523 of the family's 1533-position model. The record is from RNAcentral.
GAUGAACGCUAGCUACAGGCUUAACACAUGCAAGUCGAGGGGUAACAGGAGGAAAGCUUGCUUUUCUUGUUGACGACCGGCGCACGGGUGAGUAACGCGUAUCCAACCUGCCUAUAACUAGGGAAUAACCUUGCGAAAGUAAGACUAAUACCCUAUGAUUUCCUUUGAUGACAUCAGAUUAGGACUAAAGAUUUAUCGGUUAUAGAUGGGGAUGCGUCUGAUUAGCUUGUUGGCGGGGUAACGGCCCACCAAGGCAACGAUCAGUAGGGGUUCUGAGAGGAAGGUCCCCGACAUUGGAACUGAGACACGGUCCAAGCUCCUACGGGAGGCAGCAGGGAGGAAUAUUGGUCAAUGGGCGGAAGCCUGAACCAGCCAAGUAGCGCGCAGGAUGACGGCCCUAUGGGUUGUAAACUGCUUUUAUACAGGAAUAAAGUUAGCCACGUGUGGUUAUUUGUAGGUACUGUAUGAAUAAGGACCGGCUAAUUCCGUGCCAGCCGCCGCAGUAA